Molecule: long non-coding RNA, 455 nt
Organism: Gavialis gangeticus (Gharial)
Lineage: Eukaryota; Metazoa; Chordata; Crocodylia; Gavialidae
Exons: 3
Source: RefSeq, a predicted model, not a curated record
UUGUAAGGUGCCCCAGGGACAUGGGCAGGCUGAGAGUGACCAAACAGCUGAAGGGUGGAUUGAGGCCAGUGGUGCCCAGGAGGGACCUACCAUCUACUGAACAGAUGAAUUCAGAAGAGAUGGAAAGAAAAGAAGUGUGGGAGAUUCCUAGAAGGAUUUCUUUUGGGUUUCCUGUUCCUGAUCUAGUUCUUUCAGAAAUCAAUCAGCCCACUCUGCUGUGUUUCCUGCAUUCUCCAUCAUAAAGAGGUCAAGUUCAACUUCCAUAAACUUUCAUGAGAAUUUUUCCAGUGAGCGUUUCAUGCUCUACACUGCAGUGUGUUGAAUACAUUAAAUAACAUAGAUAUCUCAGAAAUACUUCUCUGUGCUGUUUAUUUCAUGAUGGAUGCCUAAAAUCCUAAGCUGGCAAAAUUCCACAUACCUUGGCAUCCCACAAGGCUUCUUUCUGUAGAAAUCAU